UACGGAGGGUGCAAGCGUUGUCCGGAUUUAUUGGGUUUAAAGGGUGCGUAGGCGGUCUUUUAAGUCAGUGGUGAAACCCUCCAGCUCAACUGGAGAACUGCCAUUGAUACUGGAAGACUUGAGUAUAGUUGAGGUAGGCGGAAUUGACAGUGUAGCGGUGAAAUGCAUAGAUAUUGUCAAGAACCCCGAUUGCGAAGGCAGCUUACUAAACUAUAACUGACGCUGAGGCACGAAAGUGUGGGGAUCAAACAGG
RNAcentral lists this ribosomal RNA (253 nucleotides) under uncultured bacterium. RNAcentral's name for it is "partial 16S ribosomal RNA". It matches the Rfam family "Bacterial small subunit ribosomal RNA", at positions 524 to 776 of the family's 1533-position model. The record is from RNAcentral.